GCCCCUGUAUCUUGCAUGGUAGAGCAUCAUUUUUGUCCAGUGGGGGCGCGGGUUCGCAUUCCCGCCGGGGGCUCAA
RNAcentral lists this transfer RNA (76 nucleotides) under Salmonella enterica subsp. enterica serovar Thompson. RNAcentral's name for it is "tRNA-Thr". It matches the Rfam family "tRNA". From Rfam's summary of the family: Transfer RNA (tRNA) molecules are approximately 80 nucleotides in length. Their secondary structure includes four short double-helical elements and three loops (D, anti-codon, and T loops). Further hydrogen bonds mediate the characteristic L-shaped molecular structure. tRNAs have two regions of fundamental functional importance: the anti-codon, which is responsible for specific mRNA codon recognition, and the 3' end, to which the tRNAs corresponding amino acid is attached (by aminoacyl-tRNA synthetases). tRNAs cope with the degeneracy of the genetic code in two manners: having more than one tRNA (with a specific anti-codon) for a particular amino acid; and 'wobble' base-pairing, i.e. permitting non-standard base-pairing at the 3rd anti-codon position. The record is from RNAcentral. Lineage: Bacteria; Pseudomonadati; Pseudomonadota; Gammaproteobacteria; Enterobacterales; Enterobacteriaceae.